This 490-nucleotide ribosomal RNA is filed under the name uncultured bacterium. Its description in RNAcentral is "partial 16S ribosomal RNA". It matches the Rfam family "Bacterial small subunit ribosomal RNA", at positions 30 to 507 of the family's 1533-position model. The record is from RNAcentral.
AUUGAACGCUGGCGGCAGGCCUAACACAUGCCAGUCGAACGGUAACAGGAAGAAGCUUGCUUCUUUGCUGACGAGUGGCGGACGGGUGAGUAAUGUCUGGGAAACUGCCUGAUGGAGGGGGAUAACUACUGGAGACGGUAGCUAAUACCGCAUAAUGUCGCAAGACCAAAGAGGGGGACCUUCGGGCCUCUUGCCAUCGGAUGUGCCCAGAUGGGAUUAGCUAGUAGGUGGGGUAACGGCUCACCUAGGCGACGAUCCCUAGCUGGUCUGAGAGGAUGACCAGCCACACUGGAACUGAGACACGGUCCAGACUCCUACGGGAGGCAGCAGUGGGGAAUAUUGCACAAUGGGCGCAAGCCUGAUGCAGCUAUGCCGCGUGUAUGAAGAAGGCCUUCGGGUUGUAAAGUACUUUCAGCGGGGAGGAAGGGAGUAAAGUUAAUACCUUUGCUCAUUGACGUUACCCGCAGAAGAAGCACCGGCUAACUCCGUG